UGGGGAAUUUUGGACAAUGGGGGAAACCCUGAUCCAGCCAUCCCGCGUGUGCGAUGAAGGCCUUCGGGUUGUAAAGCACUUUUGGCAGGAAAGAAACGUCGCGGGUUAAUACCCCGCGAAACUGACGGUACCUGCAGAAUAAGCACCGGCUAACUACGUGCCAGCAGCCGCGGUAAUACGUAGGGUGCAAGCGUUAAUCGGAAUUACUGGGCGUAAAGCGUGCGCAGGCGGUUCGGAAAGAAAGAUGUGAAAUCCCAGAGCUUAACUUUGGAACUGCAUUUUUAACUACCGGGCUAGAGUGUGUCAGAGGGAGGUGGAAUUCCGCGUGUAGCAGUGAAAUGCGUAGAUAUGCGGAGGAACACCGAUGGCGAAGGCAGCCUCCUGGGAUAACACUGACGCUCAUGCACGAAAGCGUGGGGAGCAAACAGGAUUAGAUACCCUGGUAGUCCACGCCCUAAACGAUGUCAACUAGCUGUUGGGCCUUCGGGCCUUGGUAGCGCAGCUAACGCGUGAAGUUGACCGCCUGGGGAGUACGGUC
Molecule: ribosomal RNA, 538 nt
Filed under: uncultured bacterium
Lineage: Bacteria
Description: partial 16S ribosomal RNA
Rfam family: Bacterial small subunit ribosomal RNA
Source: RNAcentral